This 497-nucleotide ribosomal RNA is filed under the name uncultured bacterium. RNAcentral describes it as "partial 16S ribosomal RNA". It matches the Rfam family "Bacterial small subunit ribosomal RNA", at positions 28 to 507 of the family's 1533-position model. The record is from RNAcentral.
GAUGAACGCUGGCGGCGUGCCUAAUACAUGCAAGUCGAGCGAACAGACGAGGAGCUUGCUCCUCUGACGUUAGCGGCGGACGGGUGAGUAACACGUGGAUAACCUACCUAUAAGACUGGGAUAACUUCGGGAAACCGGAGCUAAUACCGGAUAAUAUAUUGAACCGCAUGGUUCAAUAGUGAAAGACGGUUUUGCUGUCACUUAUAGAUGGAUCCGCGCCGCAUUAGCUAGUUGGUAAGGUAACGGCUUACCAAGGCAACGAUGCGGAGCCGACCUGAGAGGGUGAUCGGCCACGCUGGAACUGAGACACGGUCCAGACUCCUACGGGAGGCAGCAGUAGGGAAUCUUCCGCAAUGGGCGAAAGCCUGACGGAGCAACGCCGCGUGAGUGAUGAAGGUCUUCGGAUCGUAAAACUCUGUUAUUAGGGAAGAACAAAUGUGUAAGUAACUAUGCACGUCUUGACGGUACCUAAUCAGAAAGCCACGGCUAACUACGUG